Molecule: ribosomal RNA, 395 nt
Filed under: uncultured bacterium
Lineage: Bacteria
Description: bacterial SSU rRNA
Rfam family: Bacterial small subunit ribosomal RNA
Source: RNAcentral
AGUGAACGCUGGCGGCAGGCCUAACACAUGCAAGUCGAGCGGCAGCGCGUCCGACCACCCUCGGGUGGUCGGAUGGCGGCGAGCGGCGGACGGGUGAGGAAUGCAUCGGAAUCUGCCUCGUUGUGGGGGAUAACGUAGGGAAACUUACGCUAAUACCGCAUACGACCUACGGGUGAAAGUGGGGGACCUUCGGGCCUCACGCGAUGAGAUGAGCCGAUGCCGGAUUAGCUAGUUGGCGGGGUAAAGGCCCACCAAGGCGACGAUCCGUAGCUGGUCUGAGAGGAUGAUCAGCCACACUGGAACUGAGACACGGUCCAGACUCCUACGGGAGGCAGCAGUGGGGAAUAUUGGACAAUGGGGGCAACCCUGAUCCAGCCAUGCCGCGUGUGUGAAGA